UACAAGGUUCAGGUUUAAGUACCACUUUCUCACUGAUUUAUGUCUAAUGCAUUAUAAUUCACUGACUGACAGGAUAAGCAACUAAAUUUGUUAAUUGGACAGUAAAAUACAUUUUUGUUCUUGUUUUUGUUCUUGUGAUUUUUUAGGCUAAUGUAAAAAAUACAUAAUAUGUUAAAAUUUACUACAUUAAAACAUUCAUGGAGAUUUAAAAUAUUAGACAUGGAAUCUCACAUAAUUUAUUCUUUAUUUUUGUGGCCAAACAAUUAUAAUUAAAGGGAUGUACUCAAUUGCAUGAGUUAAGGUUUAUAGUAAAUAUCAUUUCUAUAUGUAGCAUGUCAGUUCAUAUUUAAAAAAUGACCUGUGCACCCAUAUUCUCUUUUUAGCAAGAGGUGUUGUAAAUCACCAUAAAAACCCAACUGGCACUGCAUUAUUAUAUAUGAAUAAAUUCACUAUUUAUUUCAUGGGGUUUUUCAUCCCUUACCAAUUGUUUAAAUACCCCUUUCCCAUGGAAACAUGGAAAAAUCUGUGUUCUUUUACUAUCUUAGCUAUAAUCUUUAAAUUUACAUUUCUUAAAAAGUAAAUAUGGAAAUAACUUUACCUUUAUAUUUGAAUAAAUUGAAUGAGAUGAAAUGUUGCAUUCCCGUUGAUAUUUUUAUUUCAGUUAUUUCCCUCCCUCCAUUAAUCCCUGUUAUUAUGACAUUAGAAGAUAUCCCCACUUUUAAGAAGACAUUUAGGAUUUACUGAGUUGACCAAUGUUAAGUAACUUGGAGAAAUUGCUUAACUAUCAGGAAGUAAACUAUAUAUUUUUGUGUACAGUGGACUAAUCUGAACACCUUGAAUUGAAAGGAAAUAGGAAGCAGUAAGGGAAGAAGUUUGAGCCCUAAAAUAGAUAAUGAGAAGACAAGGAAAUCCACACAUAUGGAUCAACACAGGGCCAGUUUCAGGCAGUUUCAGGAGGUAAAAGGGGGUGGCAACUAGAUAUAAGCCAGUCAUCUUCCAAGAGCAGGACAAGAUCAAUGUAAUAGGUGGAGUUGGCACAAUUGUCUGUGGGACAUUACGGAGGAAAGUACAAUUGGCCUGCCCUGGGGACACUGAUUUAGCAAGAGUACGGAAGCUCACACCUUCCUUCGUCUGAAUGUAGUACAGAGUAUUUUUCUUUGCCUCCUACCUAAUAUAGACCCGGGGGACAUAGAAAGCGAAUGUGUCCAAAAGACUUGGGUAUAAAUGGGUUAGAAUGGAUCUUCCACUUGAAUGAUGUCUGGGGAGCUGUUACAGUCUGACAGUAGUACAGAAACAUAGAGGGGUCAGAAAUACUUCAAGGCCUUUGAACAUCUGUAUAAAAGACUUUUGCAGAAUUUUACUAGUAGAACAAGGAUACUAGCAUCCUCCUAAGAGAGAUUCCUAGGUCAUGCUGGGGCAGAAUAGGUAGGGAAGUUUGUAGAUGAGUAGAUGUUCCUGGUAGAGACAAUCUCAGGAUAUAAUAGGUACAGGUUCAACCCCUGGCCCAGCACAGUGGGUUAAAGAUCCAGCAUUGUUGUAGCUGUGACUUAGGUCACAGCUGAAGCUCAGAUUCAAUCCCUGGCCCAGGGACAUCCAUAUGCCAUAGGUGCAGCCAUAAAAAAAAAAAAAAAUAAUAAUAAAUAAAAUGAAGUCUGUACCUGGUCUACUAGAUGCUACAUGGGCUGACCCUUGCUCCUUGCUUGACCUUAUCACUUGUAACUUCCCUCCAGCUCUCUUCUUCAGUCACACUAGCCCUUUGUUCCAGGUGCUUGUUCAAUAGUCAUUUUUCAGAGAAGAUGACAACUCUUUCUAAAGUAGGGGACAAUUCCCUUCUGAUUACUCAACUUGCGUUAUUUCUCUUCACAGCACUUAACACUCCCGGGUAUUUUAUAUGGUGUCUGCUUACUCUCUUUUCCUCUGGUAAAUUUUAAGUUUUAUGGAAGCAAAAAGAAUUUUUCCUGUUUUAUUUACUGCCGUAUGCUAUAGGUGCUAAAAUAAUUGGUGAGUGAAAUUAGUGAAAUGAUGAAUAAAAUACUCAUUCCGCUUACCUAUUUUCCUUAUUUUCCUUAAUAAAAUAUAUUAGAUAUACUAAUUUGAAAAACAGUUGUCUCAGCAAGUAAGAUCUCUGUGUGUAAGUGUUGAUUUAAAACAGUCUGGGCCUAUAAGGAUGCAACUUGGUGGAAUUAGCCAAAUUGAUUACACGAUAUAGUCAUUCUUCUCUAUUCAACAGUUUUAGCAUGUUAAUAUUCCAACAAUUAGCUUAAAUCAAUUUUCUCUCAAUAAUUAUAAUAGUAUCUUCUGCAAGUUGACCAAAGCUUUGCACUAAAAAAAUAAUAGGAUUUUCUUACUUUGAUAUCUUAUUUUAGGUAGAUCAAAAAUAGCAUGUACAGAUUAUCAGAUGAUUAUUUUCAGGUAUCAUUAAAACACACAACUGAAAUUACUGUAUUGAAGCCCCUCACACCUACAUAGAGAAGUAAGAAGAAAAGGUAUUACCUACAUCCCUGUCAUCCAUGGUAAAUUACAGAGUUCAAGUAGAUGAAAAUUAUUCUAUCCAAAAUUAUAUUCUACAUGCCUACUGCUUGGAAAAUAUUUAACAAUAUCUUGUUCAGUGUAUAAAUGUUAUACCAGUCCUUUAAUCUAUGUUUUUAGAUAGAAAAACAUUUCUGUAUUAUCAAAGGUCACUUUAACUUAACAUAAUUUCUAAUGAUUAAAAAAUAUAUUUCAGAUUGAAUAAUAUAUCCAUCUUUGUGUUUUUUCCGCAAUGACUUGUUGGAAAGCCACUGCUUCAUAGAAUACUAUUCCACUUACUGAAGGGAAUAUGUAGAAUGAAUAUAUAAUAGUUCCUAAAAAACUGUGAAGAAAAAUUUAUCAUAGUCUGCCCAACUAUCAUGUCAUGAGGAGGAAGGAGGGAUAGAUAGUGAAAAUAUGUUUUAAUGGAAAUAUGUAAGGCUAUGUCAUUCACAUGCCCAUGUAGCAUAUACAGCAAUCAUCUUGAUCUAAUUAUUUUAGUUUAUAAUUUAAUAUAUGGUAAUAAAUUAUUGGAUUUUUUACUGGUAAUCUUUACUUAGCCUUUUUUUAGUGUAGUUGAAUGUCUCAAAAUAUAGUUUUAUGGGGUACACAUAUAUUGGACUUUUCAAUUAUUCUUUAUUUGGUCUCAGAUAAAACACAGUAUAGGCAACUGCACUGUUAGCAACUUCCUGUAGGAGACUUGAGAUCCUUUGGAUAAUGGCACCACUGUUAGCUGAAAUGAAUGCUUGCACAAUCUAAUCCUAAAACAUCCUCAGUGAAUGUGAAUAUGUCUACGUUGACAACAAGUAUUUCCUAGCAAAUUAUAAAACUAUUUUGGGAAGAAGGUGAUUUGACAAAAAUAAGCCUAUAUUUUUUGAGGUGUGUUAAAAUGUUUUACAUCUGAAAUGAAAUGUAUCUGUGUUUAAAUGAAACUUUCAGAUUUCCUGUUGUGGCGCAGUGGUUAACGGAACCAUGAGGUUGCAGGAUAGGUCUCUGGCCUUGCUUUGACCUGUGGUGUAGGUUGCAGAUGCAGCUCGGAUCCUGAGUUGCUGUGGCUCUGGUGUAGGCCGGUGGCUACAGCUCCGAUUGGACCCCUAGCCUGGGAACCUCCAUAUGCCACAGGAGUGGCCCAAGAAAUGG
Molecule: long non-coding RNA, 3648 nt
Filed under: Sus scrofa (pig)
Lineage: Eukaryota; Metazoa; Chordata; Mammalia; Artiodactyla; Suidae
Description: lncRNA (ENSSSCG00040031844.1)
Source: RNAcentral